This is an RNA transcript of Cydia pomonella (codling moth), 5967 nucleotides long. RefSeq lists it as uncharacterized. The transcript has 20 exons. NCBI's taxonomy places the organism in Eukaryota, Metazoa, Arthropoda, Insecta, Lepidoptera, Tortricidae. The record is from RefSeq and is a predicted model, not a curated record.
GUGUUUGCGAGCAGGUUGCGUCAGUCUGUGUGAGUGUGCCUAAGCUUGCGGUCUUCUGUGUAAAUAUGUGUUUUUAGUCAACAUAUAGGACUUAGCGUUUUUAGGUGUGAUAUUUUGAGCUAUAAUGUGAUGUGUUAUAGCCUCAAACAAUGUCAUCUUAGAUCACGGACGGAAACAACAUUUAAAUACGAACGAACGAACGACCAAACGGACUAUUAAUACUGUGUUCAUUGUUUAAAAUGACUCUGAACGCGCCCUAAGAGAAAGAGACGGAGCUGGUUACCAAAAUAGCGCGUUCAGAAAUAGAAAAAAAAUGGCCUCAGUUGGUGGCGGGACGGCGGCGGGCACGGAACGCUCGUGGUGGACGACAACAUGGAGCGCCAUGGCUGACCUCGCCGAGGCCGUCGACGAUCUGAUAUGCAGCUUCGAUUAUAUGGACACAGCCAUGGAUAACCUAGUCAUGCUUAUCUUCAUCUGGCUACUUUUCUCCAUAGUCCUUCUCGGCAUAGCGAAAUGGGCUUACAGCCGCUUCAAGCCCAAAGCUGUUGAAUCAGAAAAGCCAAAAGAAGAACCUAAAUCAACGAAAUCUACGGCUAGUGAGAUCGUUAACAGCGCUGAUACAGUGUUGGCUACUACGGCUAAAGUUAAAAGUGCUACGUUUAACUCGUUCAAGCCGAAGCCUAGUGGAUUUGUGCCAGCUACACCGCCAAAUAAGCGCCGUUUAGGACGCAUGUCCCCUGGCCCCGAAGCUUUGCACAAGAAGCACCAAAGCGUCAUAGUACCGACGUGCACGGGCCCCGAUCCGCCGAGCGUACAGUGGGUGAACGACUUGUUGACGUGGUUAUAUAAUGAUCUGGUUAUUGUGAACGAACUAGUGCAGCAAUGGAUUGUGUCCAUGAACGAGUUUUCGAAGAAGUCCGUGGAGGAGCAAGGCAUCGGAGUGGAGCUGGUGCGCGCGUUGGACAGCAAUCCGCCCAACGUGUCCAACGUGUUCUGCGAGUGCGACUCUAAGGACGACGUGACCAUCACGUGUGACUGCGAGGCAACACCGGCCUUCCAGCUCAAAACCUUCAGCCAACGAGGGGAGAAGGUGGAGGUGUCGCACUAUCGAGUUAAUGUUAACAGGUUCCGUGCUCGCCUCAACGUAGUCUGCAUAACAGAAAAGUUGACGGGAGAACUACGAUGCGACGGUUGGCCAGAGGUCAAAGUGGCGCUGGCCGCCGUGGGACCACUGAAGACGUCCUCCAAUGAGGCAAACCUACAGCAACUUGUCAGCGACAUCGUGGUGAAUGCGCUGCGAAGCACGCAGCUAUCGUUUAAUUUAUCCCACUACCCCACGUGUCCGAGGCUGCGAAGACACUUUGACACGUCGCCGCGGUUGCCCCUCCACUAUGAUUCCAUGUUGUCACACGACCGGAUGUACGCGUCGACGCCCAUAUCGGCGUCCAUGUCCAACGUGCAUCUCGGCGAGAAGAGGCUGCUCGUCAAAGUCGUCGGAGCUAAGGACUUGGGAGGCAAGGCGGGCUGCAGCGCGCCAUACUGCGUGGUUGAGAUGGACGAGCCCCCGCAGAAGAACCAGACCGCCUUUAAGAAGGACACUAACCAACCACAGUGGGAAGAACAUUUUCUAUUUGAUCUCUCGCCGCAAACCGCGGAGUUGCUGUUCGAGGUGUACGACCGCACGGGCCCGCCUUCCCCCGGCGGAGGCCCUUCCACACACAGAUUCCUCGGACUGGGUCUGGUGGGUAUAGACGAGUUGCUGGCGGCACCUUCGCAGCGGCAACAGAUCGCGCUGCAGACGCGGCCUAUGGAGGAGCAUGAUAUCUCUGGCACGCUCACCGUUGAGUUCCUAUUCAUCGAGGGUGCAGACAUCCCGGACCUGGCCUCGCGGCCCGUGAAGAUCAAGGAGUCGCUCCGCACGCUGUCGCCGCGCGGACUCCUCACCACCACCACCAAGACUGUCUUCAAACAGAACGGACACGAGAACUCGGCACUAACAGAGUCGGCGCUCCGAGAGCUGGAGCUGAGCCCCGCCGGCGCCGCCAACAAGUCCACCCUCAUCAUACACUCCGUGCAGCGGGUCGAACUAACCGACUCCGGUAAAUUCAUCGAAGUGGAACGAGAAGAUACACUAAACAGCGUGGACUCAGCCGACCUCACCAGCACCACUAUGGAAAGCAUAGACGAGAACAGAACAGAACAGCAUGUGUCGCCGAAUUCGUCGCCGGCGCGGCAAGUUAGGAUCAAGGAAAAUGGCGCGAAGACGAACGGAGAUACGGAGCAAGGAGACUAUGUCCAAAAACCCGAGGAGGCACCCCCGGAGCCUGCACCGCGGCAGAAGAGAAAGAGAGACUUCUUUGGAACCAUUAAAAGAAGGCUGGGCCGGUCGCGCACGCGCGGUACGUCGCUGGACCUGCCGAGCGACAGCGACGUCGACCAGAGUCGGGUCCGCAGCAUCAGCGCUGAGAGAAACCACCACGAUAAAGCACUUUCCAUCCCCAAUAGAAACGUAUACUCAGCGGGCGCGUCACCGGCGCAAUCUGGCGACGAGUCGAGGACAUCAAGAAGAUCCUCCCUCAGCGAGAUGUCCGGGUUCAGCACGGCGUCGGCGCGCACGUUCGUGCACGAGGCGUCCACGUUGGUGCUGGAGACCCUGGAGGCCGGCAUCCGGAAGCACUACCUGGUGCCGCUGGCCGUGGCCCAGCGCUCGAGGUGGCGGCGGAAGGGCGUGAAGCUGCACAUUUACAACGAGCACACGUUCAUCGCUAAGCAUUUGAGCGGCGGCACGGUGUGCGAGGUCUGCCAGAAGACGAUCGCGCGGCGGCUCGGCAAGCAGGGCUACGAGUGCCGCGACUGCGCGCUGCGCUGCCACAAGCACUGCCACGUCCAGGCCGCCGCCGCCUGCCCGGCGUCCUCCGUGCACAAUAUGGAGCUAUCCAUGCUUCCAGUGCUAAACGAAUAGCGAGCCGCGAGAAGACUGCAAGAAAAGAAACUUUUAUAAACCAAGCAAUUUCCACUAAGGUUUAACUCGGCAAGUUUGGCUUACAUUUCAUCUCCGUACACCGACAAGAAUAUAAGGAUGUUGUGAUUGUUCAGACUAUUGAGACUAUAUUAAAACGCUUCGAUGCACAAAACAUUAAGUUUUACCAACAAAUAAAUUAUACUAUCUGUUAUAAACCUGUCGACAAACAUAGGUAUAUCUUAUUAUGCUAAUAUUAAGAGAAGAUCUCUUAACAUAAUUCAUAAACUGCAGUUUCUUUUGCUUCUGUUGUCCUAUACCGUAUCAACGUCAUUUAAGGAUGUAUCAUAACUUAUAAAUGAAUUAUAAGUUUCUAAAUGUAUGAAAAUUACAAAUCUCUUGAUUAGGUAAAUAUACCGAGAACAGAACGAUAUGGAAAUAAUACAAAUCUAUUACGGCACCUUGACUUUUUCUCUUAAAUAAGCAUAAUCUAUUAAUGUCGACAAGUUUAUAAACUGAUUAUAAAACCACAAAUCUCUCUAAGUACAACACUUAUGUACGCUUCUGUACUUUGUAUAUGUAUAGGCUUUUUUACAAAUAUAUUUACAAUAUUAAUGUUAUAAACUAGUUUAUAAGGUAUUAGUUGUUCAGACUGCCAGGGAGGGUAACGUUCGUAAUAAACUGUGUCAUAGCAAAGCCGACCUUGACUAAUGGAUAUAAGAUUAAAAAUUGAACAUUAUCCAUUGAUAUUGAUACCCGCUUUCUUUGGUAAAAUUAGAAUUAGUUUAGGUAUCGCUAGAGCCCACCCAGCAUUGAAAGUAAUCUAAAAACCACUUAACUCAGACGGUUGGCGAGGUUAGGUUUGGUUCUAAUUAUAAAUAUAUAUUUUUUUCUUUAACAAAAACCAGUUGACGAAGCCAAACAUUGAAACACACUGUUAUCAAUUCAGUUCAGUUCAGUUUAUUUAUUCAAGAACAAUUUACAUUGUGUUUGAAUAUAUCACUGUCAACCGUCUGGAUUAAGCGUUAGACCUAUACCAAUCUGGCUGAGUGCAAAUGAUCUUCGCGGUUACAGACCAAUGUCAGCCUUCUUUCAUCCCGACAAGGUUCAUAAUCACUUAAUGACGUGCCGCACACUAAGGGUUAAUCUAAGUAUUAUAACAAUCAUAUUGUGAGACCUCUAAAAUGUUUCUAAUAGUGUGCUCAGCUGAUGAAAAAAUGUUAAAAUGUACCCAGGUCGAUUUGUUUUAUUUUGGAUUUAAUUUUGUAGUGAAUUAACUUUAUAUAUUCAUAUUAAUGCCGCCAAUUUCAACUAUACGUUUUACUAAAGUUACGAUUUCAUAAAAUUUAUUCUGUAGAAAAUUUAAUCGAAAAUAUCAACAAAGUUCUGGACCUGUCUCACCUUAUGAAAUGCGAGCACUCAGCCAAAGACCCGUUUAAAAAGCCAGCCAAAAUAUAUAACAGAGAUGUUUCUAUUUAUCUCUACCUCAAACCUAAAAAAAAUUAGUUACCAAAAUAUACAUCACAUGUUUGUUAAUUUAUGUUAUCUAACUUAAAUAAGGUCCUACGGAGGAAUUGUGACAAAUGGUAAAUUAAACCUUAAACUUAGUGUACUAAGUGCUAUUUUGCACAUAUUGUGAUCUGAUAUGUUAAAGUGCAAUAAUUAAUACUUAAAACAUUCACUCUCGCUUCGCUUUCAUCGUUACUUAACUACAAAGAUGAACUCCAAAAAGUGACUUAUGUAAGUAGGUACUUAUCGAUAUAUAUAUAUGUUUAAAAUAUUCCACUUUAACUCGAAUAAUUUAUAAAAAAAGAACCUUGUGUAAACCCAUCAUGUCAAAGGCACAUAAAAAUCUAAAAAUAGCUACCUAUUGAGCCAUUGAACACUAUUCGUCUUAUGCAAUUAUCAUGGGUGCAAGCGAGCUAAUAUGGACCUUACACGAAAGCAUUAAGGUUACAUUGACAGCGUUCGUCAGAAUCGUUUUUGGGCGGCGUGAACACAUUUACUGUCGGCUUUAGGUGUUUUUGAUACCUAAAAAAACGGUGAAAUCGGAGCUAUUUUAUCGAGACCCUUUGACAUGAUUACAGUAGCUUAGACCUUCAGAAUCUCAUUUCUCAAAUGACUUAGUACUCCUGAAAAUAGGGAGAUAGCUUGACAUUUUCAGUUGGUAUUUUCAGAAGUGAUUUAUCACUAAUGUAUGAUAAAUAUGAUAAUACUGAUAUUCCUUUUGACAUAAUGAUUAAUGAAGUAAAAAAAUUAGUUACACGGUUACACUCUCUUGAAUUAUUUGUCGCUUUUGGCGACAUGUUUCGAACCCAUCGAGGGUCCUUCCUCAGGCUUGAGGGCUCGCAACGGCUGCACUCCGUGCAGUGCGCGCCUCCCCGCGCGCCUGACAGGGCGGGGCGGGGCGCGCGGGGUCCGCAGCCCGCAGCUGACUGUAACUAAAUAUUUUAGAAUAUGUCUCACGAAGGUUUAAGUUUGAUUAAUGAAGUAUGUGAAGAUUUCUUCACUAUCUUUCGGAGAAUAGUUAAUCGUGUAACAAAGUUUGCUGUAAAAUAACGUUAUUGAAUGUAAACGAUAUCUAAAGAUCUCCUCUUCUAAUAGGUUAUUGUGAAAUAACCUGAGGAUAGCUCAGAGAUGCCACCGUUUAUUCACUACUGCGGCCUCAUUAUUACUAAGACUAAGUUUUUCGCUGGAUACUGCAUUCUGAUCCCACUCCGAAUUCUCUGCCAUUUUUAAAUGUCAAUUUCGCUUGCAAAUACUUACCUUUUAUUUUACCCAUUUUACUAUAAAUAUUUUAUUUUAUUUUCCCCAUUUUAUAUUCAAAAUUGUAGUAUCCAGUGAAUAGACUUUGUAUAAAAUAAUUAUACACUGACAUUGUAAAUUUCAAUAAUUGUUGACGCAUAAUAUGUGGUUAUGACCGAUAGAUAUUAUUUAUAAAUGUUGCGCAAUGUGUUUUUUCUGUAAUUUUAUUUUCUCUUUUUUUAAUAAAAGAAAUGCCUUUUUAA